This 425-nucleotide ribosomal RNA is filed under the name uncultured bacterium. RNAcentral's name for it is "partial 16S ribosomal RNA". It matches the Rfam family "Bacterial small subunit ribosomal RNA", at positions 354 to 796 of the family's 1533-position model. The record is from RNAcentral.
GUGGGGAAUCUUGCGCAAUGGGCGAAAGCCUGACGCAGCCAUGCCGCGUGAAUGAUGAAGGUCUUAGGAUUGUAAAAUUCUUUCACCGGGGACGAUAAUGACGAUACCCGGAGAAGAAGCUCCGGCUAACUUCGUGCCAGCAGCCGCGGUAAUACGAAGGGGGCUAGCGUUGCUCGGAAUUACUGGGCGUAAAGGGCGCGUAGGCGGACAGCUUAGUCAGAGGUGAAAGCCCAGGGCUCAACCUUGGAAUUGCCUUUGAUACUGGCUGUCUUGAGUUUGGGAGAGGUGAGUGGAACUCCGAGUGUAGAGGUGAAAUUCGUAGAUAUUCGGAAGAACACCAGUGGCGAAGGCGACUACCUGGACUGAUACUGACACUGAGGUGCGAAAGCGUGGGGAGCAAACAGGAUUAGAAACCCCUGUAGUCC